Molecule: long non-coding RNA, 370 nt
Filed under: Mytilus galloprovincialis (Mediterranean mussel)
Lineage: Eukaryota; Metazoa; Mollusca; Bivalvia; Mytilida; Mytilidae
Source: RNAcentral
CUGGAUGUUGGAAUUAGAAUGCUUAACAGAUACAAUUAUCUACACAUAAUGAAGAAAGACUCUUAUUUUGCUGUUGCCACAUAGCAAAUCCAGAAAAAUAAUUUACCAGAAAAAUAAUAUAAAAAUAAUAAUCUUUCAUUAAGUAGACAGAAAUUUUACCUGAAAUGUUUAAUCUUAGAUCUUAGAACUUUUACAGAAGUGUUGUCAAUUUGAUAACCUUACAUGAACAUAUAUGUUACAAGACAAAUAGACCCAAAAAAGACGAAUUUUAUUAAAAACAAAUCUAUAUUAAAAAUUAAAAUCUUUGAUUUUAAAAAAAAAAUUAAAGGGAGACAACAAGUGACUGACUACCUGUCAAUAUAUACAACCU